GGGGUUGUGGCUCAGUGGUAGAACACACACCUACCAUGUGUGAGGCACUGGGUUCGAUCCUCAGCACCACA
RNAcentral lists this transfer RNA (71 nucleotides) under Marmota monax (woodchuck). Its description in RNAcentral is "tRNA.Gly". It matches the Rfam family "tRNA". From Rfam's summary of the family: Transfer RNA (tRNA) molecules are approximately 80 nucleotides in length. Their secondary structure includes four short double-helical elements and three loops (D, anti-codon, and T loops). Lineage: Eukaryota; Metazoa; Chordata; Mammalia; Rodentia; Sciuridae. The record is from RNAcentral.